This 222-nucleotide ribosomal RNA is filed under the name Salmonella enterica. RNAcentral's name for it is "partial 16S ribosomal RNA". It matches the Rfam family "Bacterial small subunit ribosomal RNA", at positions 1 to 221 of the family's 1533-position model. RNAcentral also lists the same sequence under 2 other names. Lineage: Bacteria; Pseudomonadati; Pseudomonadota; Gammaproteobacteria; Enterobacterales; Enterobacteriaceae. The record is from RNAcentral.
AAAUUGAAGAGUUUGAUCAUGGCUCAGAUUGAACGCUGGCGGCAGGCCUAACACAUGCAAGUCGAACGGUAGCACAGAGAGCUUGCUCUCGGGUGACGAGUGGCGGACGGGUGAGUAAUGUCUGGGAAACUGCCUGAUGGAGGGGGAUAACUACUGGAAACGGUGGCUAAUACCGCAUAACGUCGCAAGACCAAAGAGGGGGACCUUCGGGCCUCUUGCCAU